CUCAAUACCAGUAAAACCUCUCAAAGAAACCUCUUCUAAAACAUAUCAUACUUAAAUCAUUAACUAUGAAAUCAUCAUCAUAAAAAUCGCAAUCAACCCAACAAAUAAAUCUAAUACCAAUCUCAAAUUUCAAGCGGAAGUAGUCCCGCAUGCGCCUCCUCCAUCUCGGCUAACACUUCAAAGAAUCUCUCUCUCUCUCUCUCUCUCUCUCACGCUCCGGGACCCAACGGAAGCCCGCCCGGUGCGUGUCCAGACCCACCAUAUGCCCACACAUAUAAAACAUCUACAAC
Molecule: long non-coding RNA, 290 nt
Filed under: Ananas comosus (pineapple)
Lineage: Eukaryota; Viridiplantae; Streptophyta; Magnoliopsida; Poales; Bromeliaceae
Description: long non-coding RNA (ACOM_LNC023203)
Source: RNAcentral